RNAcentral lists this ribosomal RNA (504 nucleotides) under Triticum aestivum (bread wheat). RNAcentral describes it as "partial small subunit ribosomal RNA". The record is from RNAcentral. Lineage: Eukaryota; Viridiplantae; Streptophyta; Magnoliopsida; Poales; Poaceae.
AUGGACAUUUUAAUUGCAGGCAAGGCUGAACUGACCGUUUUGGCAGCGAUCAAAGAUGGGAAAAGUUUGGUUGACCAAACCCAAGUUGGAGAGUCAGCCAGUCCAACCAUGACUAUGAUGGCAGACGGCGCGCAUCAAGAAGAUGAGCGUUCUGAGAUGUUCAUCUCAACUGAAUGUGGCCUUGGAUCUGUCUCUGUGGGAGGUGAUUCCAGGCAUCCAUUAUCCACUUUAUUGGCCCCUGAUAGGAAGAAGCAGAAGGGUAGGCCGACAACGGCGAGGGACAAGCCUGGAUAUGAGAUCAAAUACGCGCGAUCAAGAUUUUGCACUGUUUGUAGAGAGAAAGGGCACAAGAGCACGACGUGCCCCCGCAGGGGGGACCUUCCUAAGAAACCCCGCAAAAUCCCUACAUGUGGCAAUUGUGGUGUGGCUGGGCACAAGAAAACAAGUUGUUUCAACCCAGUGUUGCCGUUUGUGAAGAGGCCUCGCGACGGACCAGUGGAAUGA